This 667-nucleotide unclassified non-coding RNA is filed under the name fungal sp. Maniwa 2. Its description in RNAcentral is "partial contains 18S rRNA, ITS1, 5.8S rRNA, ITS2 and 28S RNA". The stretch from base 226 to 379 matches the Rfam family "5.8S ribosomal RNA". The record is from RNAcentral. Lineage: Eukaryota; Fungi.
AAGUCGUAACAAGGUUUCCGUAGGUGAACCUGCGGAAGGAUCAUUAUCGAACGAAUCGUAGAGUCGGUUGUCGCUGGCCCCUCUCUGCUGGGCAUGUGCACGCCUUCUCUUUCAUCCACACACACCUGUGCACUCGUGAAGACGGAAGUGCCCUCGGGCGUCUGUCUGCUCCACAUAAAAUCAUUAUAUAUAUUGAAUGUAAUCGAUGUAACACAUCUUUGAACUAAGUUUCAACAACGGAUCUCUUGGCUCUCGCAUCGAUGAGGAACGCAGCGAAAUGCGAUAAGUAAUGUGAAUUGCAGAAUUCAGUGAAUCAUCGAAUCUUUGAACGCACCUUGCGCUCCUUGGUAUUCCUUGGAGCAUGCCUGUUUGAGUAUCAUGAAAUCUUCAAGAUAGAUCUUUCGUUCGUUCGAUUGAUUUUAUUUUGGACUUGGAGGUCUUGCAGAUUCUCAUGUCUGCUCCUCUUAAAUGCAUUAGCUGGAUCUCCGUGAGCUAGCUCGGUUCCGCUCGGCGUGAUAAGUAAUCGCUCGCCGAGGACACCGUAAAAAGUGGGCCGGGUNCNNNGAUGAACCGCUUCCAACCGUCCAUUGGUUUGGACGANUGAACUUUNCACGAUCUGAUCUCAAAUCAGGUAGGAAUACNNNNNNAACUUAAGCAUAUCAAUAAG